GAAGAAUAAGAAGGAAAGACAAAAACCCCAGAAAAUGAAACAGAUAAUGGUUUACCUGAGUUAAUGUCCUGCCAUGGGCAUACAAGAAGAUCAACGGUGCAAGUUUUCUCAUACUCUAGUCUGUAUCUCCUCUGUGGGAUCUUGAAAUAGAGUGUCUGACAUAUUCCUUCACUUGACUAUGUAGCAGAGACAGUGGGUAAUGCUUGAGAGAAACUGAGAAAGAGCAACAAACAAAGGAAAUUGAACAAUCCCGAAGCGGAGUUGGUCCGCCAAAUAAAAGGAUACGAAAGGAAUUACAAAAGAUAACUACAGAAGAAAUCCAUAUAUGUGCAGAACAAAUUACAAAAACCUAAAGGCAAAACGAAAAAAAUGGGAGAAUAAUGUCUAGCUAUAAAAUCAUAUACGGUGAGAUGGAAAAGUAGUCCUUUAAAAUUGCAGAAAGAUAAGAACAAAAGAAGUUAUCGGAGACCGUUCAGUUUCAGUCGUGGAAUAAGCUUAGCGCAAAGCCAUAAAUCAUUUUAAUGGCAAAGAGAACAGCACAUGCAGCUAUGUAAUUGUUUGUUGCCAAAAUAAUUGAAUCUUAGUUCAGUCGGAGAACUCGUAGAGGAAAGAAGAAAGCCAGA
Molecule: long non-coding RNA, 623 nt
Filed under: Nicotiana benthamiana
Lineage: Eukaryota; Viridiplantae; Streptophyta; Magnoliopsida; Solanales; Solanaceae
Description: long non-coding RNA (NBEN_LNC021367)
Source: RNAcentral